GACGAACGCUGGCGGCGUGCUUAACACAUGCAAGUCGAGCGGUAAGGCCCUUUCGGGGGUACACGAGCGGCGAACGGGUGAGUAACACGUGGGUGACCUGCCCUCAGCUCUGGGAUAAGCCUGGGAAACCGGGUCUAAUACUGGAUAUGACUCCAUGACGCAUGUUGUGGGGUGGAAAGCCUUGUGCGGCUGAGGAUGGGGCCCGCGGCCUAUCAGCUUGUUGGUGGGGUGANGGCCUACCAAGGCGACGACGGGUAGCCGGCCU
RNAcentral lists this ribosomal RNA (265 nucleotides) under uncultured bacterium. RNAcentral's name for it is "partial 16S ribosomal RNA". It matches the Rfam family "Bacterial small subunit ribosomal RNA", at positions 28 to 293 of the family's 1533-position model. The record is from RNAcentral.